AUGGUGAGGCUGUGCACGCUUGCCAUGGUUGUGGCUACGAAAUCUCACACUGAGUCGCUUCGGUCGGGCACUAUUCAGACUAAAGUGAGAGUUUCUAGCAUAUUCCUCUUUUACGGUGACGCCAGAUUCGAAUUUGAAGGCGUACUUGUCCCUGAGCUGGUGGUGCCUGAGAACAACAACGACAACAUUCUGGUGCAUCAGGGGCACACAUCGUCUCCAAGCUCUGUCGCAAGCAACGCAGGCACGCCUCAGGCUCAAAGUCCGGUUGCUGUGCAGGCGAGCGGCAGCAGCCACUUACGUCUCUUCUAA
This 309-nucleotide ribosomal RNA is filed under the name Triticum aestivum (bread wheat). Its description in RNAcentral is "partial small subunit ribosomal RNA". The record is from RNAcentral. Lineage: Eukaryota; Viridiplantae; Streptophyta; Magnoliopsida; Poales; Poaceae.